RNAcentral lists this ribosomal RNA (279 nucleotides) under uncultured bacterium. Its description in RNAcentral is "partial 16S ribosomal RNA". It matches the Rfam family "Bacterial small subunit ribosomal RNA", at positions 506 to 784 of the family's 1533-position model. The record is from RNAcentral.
UGCCAGCAGCCGCGGUAAUACGAAGGGGGCAAGCGUUGUUCGGAAUUACUGGGCGUAAAGGGCGCGUAGGCGGAAUAUCAAGUUAGGGGUGAAAGGCCUGGGCUCAACCUAGGAACUGCCUCUAAAACUGAUGAUCUAGAGUUCAGAAGAGGAUGGUGGAAUUCCCAGUGUAGAGGUGAAAUUCGUAGAUAUUGGGAAGAACACCGGUGGCGAAGGCGGCUUCCUGGACCAACACUGACACUGAGGCGCGAAAGCGUGGGGAGCAAACAGGAUUAGAUA